AUGGAGUACUAUCAUAUUGCCAACAAGAUGUUUAAUAGUGAGGAUGAAGGUUAUACAUUCUAUAACAAAUAUGGUCUUGAGAAAGGUUUUAGUGUCCGGAGAAGCUAUGUCGAGUGGGAUGGAUCCAACUGCCAUAUAAUUUUAAGGGAAUUUGUGUGUAGUCGUGAAGGGGUUCGUGAAGAGAAGCACAUGAAGAGGAAGAUGGAAGAUAGAAAGAGGAGGCCACGGAGUAUAACUCGUGUAGGGUGUAAAGCUAAAUUGGUGAUUGCAAGACAGGAGGAAACAUGUCAGUGGUUUCUCAAGGAUUUCAUCGAUGAACACAACCAUCCUCUAGCCCCACGGGAUCUGUCGUGUCUUUUGCGUUCACACAGAAGAAUUAGCGAUGAGCAGAAAGCGGACAUUGCAGAGAUGGAAAAAUCUGGGAUCAGAAAACACCAUAUUAUGGAUAUUAUGUGCAUGCAAUACGGUGGAUAUGAUGAGGUUGGAUGCAUUAUGAGGGACAUUUACAAUUUCUGCCAUGCUAACAAGCAGGAAACAAUUUCUUGCGGGGAUGCUCAAACGGUGAUCAAUCACAUGGUGGCGAGGCAAGAGCAAGAUUCAGAUUUUUUCUUCAGGUACUUGGUUGAUGAAGCUGGCCAUCUGAAGGGACUGUUCUGGUGUGAUAGUCAAUCCCGACUUGACUACGAGGCUUUCGGAGAUGUUAUUGUUUUUGAUAGCACAUACAGAACCAAUAAGUACAAUCUGCCAUUUGUGCCGUUUGUCGGGUUAAAUCACCACCGCAUCACCGUUAUUUUUGCAUGUGGUAUCAUUUCACAUGAAACAAGCCAGGCAUAUGAGUGGAUGUUACAGACCUUUUCUGAUGCUAUGCAGAAGCAUCCUAUAUCUGUGAUCACGGAUGGGGACCUUGCAAUGCAAAGAGCAAUCAGGGUGGUGUGGCCUGACUCAAACCAUGGGCUCUGUAUAUGGCACAUUCAGCAGAACAUUGUACGCCAUCUGCAUGAUGACGCAGUAAAGGAGGUAUUCCGAUCUUUCAUAUAUGAUACAUCUUCCAUUGAAGACCAUGAGAGAAAAUGGUUACACUUCUUACAACGGAAUAAAGUAACAAGUGAGGACUCCUGGCUGCAUCAGAUGUAUAAGAUGAGAAAACUGUGGUGUGCUCCAUAUCUUGAGGGCCGUUGUUUUCUAGGAUUGAGCAGCAAUCAGCGGAGUGAGAGUUUAAACUCAGUGCUACAUACGCAUCUUGAGGCUAAGAUGACGUUGUUUCAAAUGCUAGAGCACUAUGAGCAUUGCCUUGCGUCACGACGCUUGAACGAGGCUCUCCAAGACGUCGAGGCCUUACAGUCCGUUCCGUUCACAGAGGAAAAUGCUUCAGUUCUUGAGAAACACGCCGCGAAAGUUUUCACUCCUGCUGUGUUCAAGUUGGUCUUAUGGAGCAUAGAUGCUGUCAAAAAAUGUGAGAUCAGAGAGGUACUUGAUGCAGCAGAGGUUACCACAUACGUUGUGUCUAAGAAGGAAAGAAUGGAUAAAAAGAUCGAAGUGCGCACGGAGUCGAAGGAAGGUAUGCUUCGCAGUAUCAGUUGUUCUUGCCGCAAAUUGGAAUGCGCAGGCACACCAUGUUCCCACAUAUUUUACAUAUUGGGAAUUUUACAAGAAGAAACACUGCCCAGGUGUUGUGUUCCCACUAGGUGGACAAUGAGUGCAAAAUGUGCAUUCGCACCGACCAGAAAGAGCGAGAUGUAUGCAUACUCUGCAGCCCUACAAAGGUACCGUAAGCUAAGGAAUUUUAGUCACGUAGCAUAUUUCAAGGCAUGCCACUCUGAUGAGGCGUUUCAGCAUCUAAAAAGGGUUUUGGAAGGACAAGCUGAUAGCAAGGGAUCAACUAAUGCUCAGGGUAACAACAUUAGGUUUGGCCCGUUGAUGCCACAAUCGGCUAACCUUGAUGGUGAAGGUUUCGAAAAGGUUCUUGAUCUCGUGCAUGUGCCAGGCCGAGGUGCUCCGAAGAAAAGGCUACAUGCAUAG
This 2019-nucleotide ribosomal RNA is filed under the name Triticum aestivum (bread wheat). RNAcentral's name for it is "partial small subunit ribosomal RNA". Lineage: Eukaryota; Viridiplantae; Streptophyta; Magnoliopsida; Poales; Poaceae. The record is from RNAcentral.